AUUGAAGGGAUUGAUUGAAGUUGAAUCCAUAGUUUUCACUUUUCGUACCAUUAUUAUGAGAAUACAAUAAGAAAAAGAUUUAUAAAUUUUCCUUUCAAGACGAUCAAGAGAAAAUCACAACAGAUAAACCUUCCCAAAGCACUCUCCAAAAAACUUGGUUCCCAGGGAGGAGUAAAAACAAACAGAGCCAACAGGCAACAGCUUAAUUCUUCCAGGAAUAGCAUGAACAGCUUUCAAACUAGCUGCAUUUCUGGAACAAGCACAUUCUAGAGUAACAGGCAUUCACCAGCUACAUCGCAAAACCACCAUCUAAACCCUCAUCAACAGUAUCUGUAUGAACAUCAAGAAGUCCCUUUCAACUUGCAAGAAUUUGUCUGCUUACUUUGGAAAAUCAACAAAAUUUUUUACAGAUUACAAAUCUUCAUCUCUUGACAUCCUCAGAAAUGCUUUUCUCCAGUAGUUGCCAAAAGAGACCUUCAAAUUAUUAGUAGAGACUGUAUUCACCAAAUACUCCAGAUGCAAGAGUGCACUAGCAAAGAGAAUUCAUG
RNAcentral lists this long non-coding RNA (548 nucleotides) under Theobroma cacao (cacao). RNAcentral describes it as "long non-coding RNA (TCAC_LNC002179)". The record is from RNAcentral. Lineage: Eukaryota; Viridiplantae; Streptophyta; Magnoliopsida; Malvales; Malvaceae.